UGAGGAAUAUUGGUCAAUGGAGGCAACUCUGAACCAGCCAUGCCGCGUGCAGGAUGACGGUCCUAUGGAUUGUAAACUGCUUUUGUACGGGAAGAAAUGUAUCUACGUGUAGGUAUUUGACGGUACCGUAAGAAUAAGGAUCGGCUAACUCCGUGCCAGCAGCCGCGGUAAUACGGAGGAUCCGAGCGUUAUCCGGAAUUAUUGGGUUUAAAGGGUUCGUAGGCGGUUGAGUAAGUCAGUGGUGAAAUCUUAUAGCUUAACUAUAAAAUUGCCGUUGAUACUGCUUGACUUGAAUAGUAUGGAAGUAAUUAGAAUAUGUAGUGUAGCGGUGAAAUGCUUAGAUAUUACAUGGAAUACCAAUUGCGAAGGCAGAUUACUACGUACUUAUUGACGCUGAUGAACGAAAGCGUGGGUAGCGAACAGG
Molecule: ribosomal RNA, 424 nt
Filed under: uncultured bacterium
Lineage: Bacteria
Description: bacterial SSU rRNA
Rfam family: Bacterial small subunit ribosomal RNA
Source: RNAcentral